UUUUUAGGAGAUGUUAAGUAGAUGAAAGACCAAGAAAAGCGAGGGAGAAAAUUCAAUAUAUUUGAGAACAAAGGCAGCCAUUAACCUGUCCAUCUUCAGAACCUGAAUCGGUAGCCAAAUCUCAGCAGACAGAGCUACGUAAUGCCAGAUAAAUCUUCUUGCUGAAUGAGAGACCCAUCCUACCAGCAUAAACAACAUUUGAACACUCUAGCCCCCAGCCUUACCAGCCAGCUCUCCAUUCUCUACACACAGAGUCUUUGUUGGGACACUCCAGGCCAGUUAUUUCACCAUCCUGAGUCUGGUCCCUCUCUGAGGCCCAGGGACAUAUAUUCAGUUCAGGUUUGAAUUAAGGAAAGAUACUACUACCUUGAUGGGGGAUCAGGACCACAGGACCAAAUUGAACCAGGCAAGACUGAAGGGGCCAAGGGAUAGAGGAUCCCCCUCCCGAAGGAGCCAACUGGAAGGCAACAAUUGGAUGGCCUGUUAAAGAAGAAAGAAGCUUAGGACAGGGAGAAUGCCACUUUCCAGUAUUACAAAAAUAUCCUUUAGGCAAGGGAGGUGGAAGGGGAGAAAAAGAAACAAAAAACUACCUUUUGGGCAAAAG
This 604-nucleotide long non-coding RNA is filed under the name Homo sapiens (human). RNAcentral's name for it is "non-protein coding lnc-TRIM32-1:3". The record is from RNAcentral. Lineage: Eukaryota; Metazoa; Chordata; Mammalia; Primates; Hominidae.